RNAcentral lists this unclassified non-coding RNA (320 nucleotides) under Melitaea cinxia (Glanville fritillary). RNAcentral describes it as "misc RNA ENSMCXG00005005701.1". Lineage: Eukaryota; Metazoa; Arthropoda; Insecta; Lepidoptera; Nymphalidae. The record is from RNAcentral.
AUCAUUCCCCAAUUGCUGUUCCGCCUUACAGGGUGACACCAGCCAAGAAAAAGCUCAUGCAGAUGGAACUCGAUAAGAUGUUAGCGGACGAUAUUGUAGAAGAAUGCGAGUCGGCCUGGGGUUCUCCAGCACUUCUUGUACCCAAGGCGAACGACUCCUGUGCUCAACCAGAGAGGUGAAGUUUUGGCAAUAGACUUGUUCGGCCCACUCCCUCGAGGAGAAAAUGGGGAAAAAUGGAUCUUGUUGGUGGAAGACACAGCAACUCGCUGGGUUGAACUGUUUGCUUUAAAAGAUGCAACGUCAGAAGCAUGUGCCCGUAC